GUCCCUCUCCUUGAGCAUUGUCAGAGAGAGCAAUUCUGUGCCCAGCCUGAGUCGUCUCUCUGCCUGUACGCAGCCAGCAGCGCC
Molecule: microRNA precursor, 84 nt
Filed under: Ovis aries (sheep)
Lineage: Eukaryota; Metazoa; Chordata; Mammalia; Artiodactyla; Bovidae
Description: miRNA (ENSOARG00000024532.1)
Source: RNAcentral